RNAcentral lists this long non-coding RNA (337 nucleotides) under Setaria italica (foxtail millet). RNAcentral describes it as "long non-coding RNA (SITA_LNC004999)". Lineage: Eukaryota; Viridiplantae; Streptophyta; Magnoliopsida; Poales; Poaceae. The record is from RNAcentral.
CGGCACGACUCUGUCGUUCUAAUCUUUCUGUUCUUUUUCCUUUCUUCCAAACCGACACGUUCACGCCUCGAUUGCUCGAAAUAUUUCAUCUCAACUCAUAGAACUCCUUUAAGAAAACUUGUAGAGUAAUCCGAGCACUUUAAUUGAUAGAUGGGCCUCUACUCGAGAUGAGCACUCUAGGGUCGAAAUUUUUUGAGCUCUAAUGUUUCUGUCAACUUGCACUGUUACUGAACAUUUACAAUUCAGUUUCGACAGCUUUCAAAAUGUGGUGAUUUACCCCUCUUUGGCACCAAUUUUAGUAGUCCAAUUGUAUUCCAUAUAGGCCAACAACUCCCUA